GACGAACGCUGGCGGCGUGCCUAAUACAUGCAAGUUGAGCGCUGAAGGUUGGUACUUGUACCAACUGGAUGAGCAGCGAACGGGUGAGUAACGCGUGGGGAAUCUGCCUUUGAGCGGGGGACAACAUUUGGAAACGAAUGCUAAUACCGCAUAAAAACUUUAAACACAAGUUUUAAGUUUGAAAGAUGCAAUUGCAUCACUCAAAGAUGAUCCCGCAUUGUAUUAGCUAGUUGGUGAGGUAAAGGCUCACCAAGGCGAUGAUACAUAGCCGACCUGAGAGGGUGAUCGGCCACAUUGGGACUGAGACACGGCCCAAACUCCUACGGGAGGCAGCAGUAGGGAAUCUUCGGCAAUGGACGAAAGUCUGACCGAGCAACGCCGCGUGAGUGAAGAAGGGUUUCGGAUCGUAAAACUCUGUUGGUAGAGAAGAACGUUGGUGAGAGUGGAAAGCUCAUCAAGUGACGGUAACUACCCAGAAAGGGACGGCUAACUACGUG
RNAcentral lists this ribosomal RNA (497 nucleotides) under uncultured bacterium. RNAcentral describes it as "partial 16S ribosomal RNA". It matches the Rfam family "Bacterial small subunit ribosomal RNA", at positions 28 to 507 of the family's 1533-position model. The record is from RNAcentral.